RNAcentral lists this ribosomal RNA (406 nucleotides) under uncultured bacterium. RNAcentral describes it as "bacterial SSU rRNA". It matches the Rfam family "Bacterial small subunit ribosomal RNA", at positions 354 to 776 of the family's 1533-position model. The record is from RNAcentral.
GUGGGGGAUAUUGCACAAUGGGGGAAACCCUGAUGCAGCGACGCCGCGUGAGGGAAGACGGUUUUCGGAUUGUAAACCUCUGUCUUUGGGGACGAAGAAAUGACGGUACCCAAGGAGGAAGCCACGGCUAACUACGUGCCAGCAGCCGCGGUAAUACGUAGGUGGCAAGCGUUGUCCGGAAUUACUGGGUGUAAAGGGAGCGUAGGCGGGUCUACAAGUUGACUGUAUAAACGAUCGGCUCAACUGGUCGUGGCGAUCAAAACUGUAGAUCUUGAGUGGAGUAGAGGCAGGCGGAAUUCCUAGUGUAGCGGUGAAAUGCGUAGAUAUUAGGAGGAACACCAGUGGCGAAGGCGGCCUGCUGGGCUCUAACUGACGCUGAGGCUCGAAAGCGUGGGUAGCAAACAGG